CAGCCGCCGCGGUAAAACGGAGGGUGCAAGCGUUAAUCGGAAUUACUGGGCGUAAAGCGCACGCAGGCGGUCUGACAAGUCAGAUGUGAAAUCCCCGGGCUUAACCUGGGAACUGCAUUUGAAACUGUCAGGCUGGAGUCUUGUAGAGGGGGGUAGAAUUCCAGGUGUAGCGGUGAAAUGCGUAGAGAUCUGGAGGAAUACCGGUGGCGAAGGCGGCCCCCUGGACAAAGACUGACGCUCAGGUGCGAAAGCGUGGGGAGCAAACAGGAUUAGAUACCCGCGUAGUCCCUGUCUCUUAUAC
This 301-nucleotide ribosomal RNA is filed under the name uncultured bacterium. RNAcentral describes it as "partial 16S ribosomal RNA". It matches the Rfam family "Bacterial small subunit ribosomal RNA", at positions 509 to 807 of the family's 1533-position model. The record is from RNAcentral.